RNAcentral lists this ribosomal RNA (513 nucleotides) under uncultured bacterium. Its description in RNAcentral is "bacterial SSU rRNA". It matches the Rfam family "Bacterial small subunit ribosomal RNA", at positions 15 to 518 of the family's 1533-position model. The record is from RNAcentral.
GAUCAUGGCUCAGGAUGAACGCUAGCUACAGGCUUAACACAUGCAAGUCGAGGGGCAGCAUGACGGAAGCUUGCUCUGUGAUGGCGACCGGCGCACGGGUGAGUAACGCGUAUCCAACCUGGCCCUUAGUAGGGGAUAGCCCGGCGAAAGUCGGAUUAAUACCCUAUGUUUUCCAAUGAGGACACCUGAGCUGGAACAAAGGUUUACCGCUAAGGGAUGGGGAUGCGUCUGAUUAGGUAGUAGGCGGGGUAACGGCCCACCUAGCCGACGAUCAGUAGGGGUUCUGAGAGGAAGGUCCCCCACAUUGGUACUGAGACACGGACCAAACUCCUACGGGAGGCAGCAGUGAGGAAUAUUGGUCAAUGGACGAGAGUCUGAACCAGCCAAGUAGCGUGCAGGAAUGACUGCCCUAUGGGUUGUAAACUGCUUUUAUGCGGGAAUAAAGUGAGGCACGUGUGCCUUUUUGUAUGUACCGCAUGAAUAAGGACCGGCUAAUUCCGUGCCAGCCGCCGC